AUGGAUCGGGUCUUCCACCGGGUC
RNAcentral lists this non-coding RNA (24 nucleotides) under Arabidopsis thaliana (thale cress). The record is from RNAcentral. Lineage: Eukaryota; Viridiplantae; Streptophyta; Magnoliopsida; Brassicales; Brassicaceae.